CCUACGGGAGGCUGCAGUGAGGAAUAUUGGUCAAUGGACGAGAGUCUGAACCAGCCAAGUAGCGUGAAGGAUGACUGCCCUAUGGGUUGUAAACUUCUUUUAUAUGGGAAUAAAACAGGGUAUGCAUACCCUCUUGUAUGUACCAUAUGAAUAAGGAUCGGCUAACUCCGUGCCAGCAGCCGCGGUAAUACGGAGGAUCCGAGCGUUAUCCGGAUUUAUUGGGUUUAAAGGGAGCGUAGGUGGAUUGUUAAGUCAGUUGUGAAAGUUUGCGGCUCAACCGUAAAAUUGCAGUUGAAACUGGCAGUCUUGAGUGCAGUAGAGGUGGGCGGAAUUCGUGGUGUAGCGGUGAAAUGCUUAGAUAUCACGAAGAACUCCGAUUGCGAAGGCAGCUUACUGGACUGCAACUGACACUGAUGCUCGAAAGUGUGGGUAUCAAACAGGAUUAGAUACCCCUGUAGUC
This 460-nucleotide ribosomal RNA is filed under the name uncultured bacterium. RNAcentral describes it as "partial 16S ribosomal RNA". It matches the Rfam family "Bacterial small subunit ribosomal RNA", at positions 338 to 795 of the family's 1533-position model. The record is from RNAcentral.